GGAAUUGUUCGCAAUGGGCGCAAGCCUGACGACGCAACGCCGCGUGGAGGAUGAAGAUCUUCGGGUCGUAAACUCCUGUCGAGCGGGACGAACACUGUUCGGGUGAAUAGCCCGGAGAGCUGACGGUACCGCUAAAGGAAGCCCCGGCUAACUCCGUGCCAGCAGCCGCGGUAAUACGGGGGGGCAAGCGUUGUUCGGAAUUACUGGGCGUAAAGGGCUCGUAGGUGGCCAACUAAGUCAGACGUGAAAUCCCUCGGCUUAACCGGGGAACUGCGUCUGAUACUGGUUGGCUUGAGUUUGGGAGAGGGAUGCGGAAUUCCAGGUGUAGCGGUGAAAUGCGUAGAUAUCUGGAGGAACACCGGUGGCGAAGGCGGCAUCCUGGACCAACACUGACGCUGAGGAGCGAAAGCCAGGGGAGCAAAC
Molecule: ribosomal RNA, 423 nt
Filed under: uncultured bacterium
Lineage: Bacteria
Description: bacterial SSU rRNA
Rfam family: Bacterial small subunit ribosomal RNA
Source: RNAcentral